AAGACUAUAGUCAAUAUUAUGACGUAUGAGUUGCAUUCAUAAAGAGUCCGUUUGGACUAGUUUU
This 64-nucleotide transfer RNA is filed under the name Lissocarcinus arkati. RNAcentral's name for it is "tRNA-Ala". Lineage: Eukaryota; Metazoa; Arthropoda; Malacostraca; Decapoda; Portunidae. The record is from RNAcentral.